CCCCCGCAGGAAGCAACUGGACAUUUCCUCUGCACAUUGUCUUUUGCAAAGAUACAAGGAGGCUUAAGCCUGACAGACGCACCUCCUGCCAUCCUGCACUCCCACCCUGGUCGGCGAUGCCCUGAGGGAAGGGACCGUCGCUCUGCAUGUCUGUGCUUACUCACCCCACCCACACGUGGGGCCUGUGAUUCCCACGUCCCCCUGGAGGAAACUGCCUCUUUGGUGAGUAAGAUAAGAUUCCAGUUGGUUGGCAUCACGUGGGGCGUUCCUGCCCUUUGUGUUCAUAUAUGCUUUAGUGUCAUGGUUCCUGCUGGUCUAGAGAAAAAGUUUAGAAGUAAAACACAGAACCUGGGGUAGCCCCAGACCCACCAUUUUUUAAAGAAAAACUGGUGCGAGAACUUGUUUUUCAAACUAGAAAAUGCCGUACAAAUAAAGAGAGGUGAACGCAGAACUACUGGUUGUCG
This 464-nucleotide long non-coding RNA is filed under the name Bos indicus x Bos taurus (hybrid cattle). RNAcentral's name for it is "lncRNA (ENSBIXG00000014157.1)". Lineage: Eukaryota; Metazoa; Chordata; Mammalia; Artiodactyla; Bovidae. The record is from RNAcentral.